AUUCUACUCCCUCCGUCCAACAAAGGAUGUCUCAAUUUUGACCAAAUUUGAAUUUGGUCAAAAUUGAGACAUCCUUUGUUGGACGAAGGGAGUAGUAG
Molecule: non-coding RNA, 98 nt
Organism: Brachypodium distachyon (stiff brome)
Lineage: Eukaryota; Viridiplantae; Streptophyta; Magnoliopsida; Poales; Poaceae
Source: Rfam